CGAAGGAUGCAAGCGUUAUCCGGAUUCAUGGGUUUAAAGGGUGCGUAGGCGGACCUGUAAGUCAGUGGUGAAAUCUCUUUGCUUAACAAAGAAACUGCCAUUGAUACUGCAAGUCUAGAGUAUAGAUGACGUUGGCGGAAUAUGACAUGUAGUGGUGAAAUACUUAGAUAUGUCAUAGAACACCGAUUGCGAAGGCAGCUAACGAAACUAUAACUGACGCUGAGGCACGAAAGUGCGGGGAUCAAACAGGAUUAGAUACCCUGGUAGUCCGCACCGUAAACGAUGAUUACUCGUUGUUGGCAAUAUGACCGUCAGCGACCAAGCGAAAGCGAUAAGUAAUCCACCUGGGGAGUACGCCGGCAACGGUG
This 368-nucleotide ribosomal RNA is filed under the name uncultured organism. RNAcentral describes it as "bacterial SSU rRNA". It matches the Rfam family "Bacterial small subunit ribosomal RNA", at positions 526 to 896 of the family's 1533-position model. The record is from RNAcentral.